This 328-nucleotide unclassified non-coding RNA is filed under the name soil metagenome. RNAcentral's name for it is "partial contains 5.8S ribosomal RNA, internal transcribed spacer 2, and large subunit ribosomal RNA". The stretch from base 1 to 120 matches the Rfam family "5.8S ribosomal RNA", at positions 35 to 154 of the family's 154-position model. The record is from RNAcentral.
GAUGAAGAACUCAGCGAAAUGCGAUAAGUAAUGUGAAUUGCAGAAUUCAGUGAAUCAUCGAAUCUUUGAACGCACAUUGCGCCCCUUGGUAUUCCGAGGGGCAUGCCUGUUCGAGCGUCAUUAUAACCCUCAAGCUCAGCUUGGUGUUGGGGCCUGCUGCACUGGCAGCCCUUAAAAUCAGUGGCGGCGCCAUCUGGCUCUAAGCGUAGUAAUUCUUCUCGCUAUGGAGUCCUGGUGGAUGCUUGCCAUCAACCCCCAAUUUUUCUAUGGUUGACCUCGGAUCAGGUAGGGAUACCCGCUGAACUUAAGCAUAUCAAUAAGCGGAGGA